AAUGAACGCUGGCGGCAUGCCUAACACAUGCAAGUCGAACGAAGGCUUCGGCCUUAGUGGCGCACGGGUGCGUAACGCGUGGGAAUCUGCCCUCAGGUUCGGAAUAACAGCGAGAAAUUGCUGCUAAUACCGGAUGAUAUCGCGAGAUCAAAGAUUUAUCGCCUGAGGAUGAGCCCGCGUAGGAUUAGCUAGUUGGUGUGGGAAAGGCGCAACAAGGCGACGAUUCUUAGCUGGUCUGAGAGGAUGAUCAGCCACACUGGGACUGAGACACGGCCCAGCAUGCGACGGGAGGCAGCAGUGGGUAAGAUGGGACAAUGGGCGAAAGCCUGAUCCAGCAAUGCCGCGUGAGUGAUGAAGGCCUUAGGGGUGUAAAGCUCUUUUACACGGGAUGAUAAUGACAGUACCGGGAGAAUAAGCUCCGGCUAACUCCGUGCCAGCAGCCGCCGUAA
RNAcentral lists this ribosomal RNA (449 nucleotides) under uncultured bacterium. Its description in RNAcentral is "partial 16S ribosomal RNA". It matches the Rfam family "Bacterial small subunit ribosomal RNA", at positions 29 to 523 of the family's 1533-position model. The record is from RNAcentral.